Molecule: ribosomal RNA, 4059 nt
Filed under: Triticum aestivum (bread wheat)
Lineage: Eukaryota; Viridiplantae; Streptophyta; Magnoliopsida; Poales; Poaceae
Description: partial small subunit ribosomal RNA
Source: RNAcentral
AUGAUUGCCGAGGUUGCUUCGAGCCUUGAGAAUUUUUCAAGCCUUGAGGAUCUUGCUUCUGCAGCUCUUGCUUCACCUAAUGUGUCCACAAAGGAGGAAGCUGUGAACACCAUCAACGAUGUUUUAUCUGAGUUGGGUUUAUCAGAAACCCCUGCUGCUGCUGAGGAGGUGGCUCCGUCAGUCAAAGGUUGUGAUUCUGUUCCGGAUCCUUUGUGCUCUCUUCAAAUGUUAGAGACGCAGUCGCAGUCUGUUGAUGGCACUGAACUUGUCACGCAACCCGAGGAUGUGCCUCUUCAGCUUCUCCUGGAGGACCAACGUAAGAGGAAGAAGCAAGAAGAUUUUGACAAGAAGAGGGCGGCCCGCCUUGAGAAAGGUUCUGAUGUUCCUGGAUCUGUUCAUGCGGCUGAGCUCACUGUUGAGGAAGACGUGUCGUGUAGUAGUGAUGGCAAGGUUGUCCCUGUUAAGAUGAAAAUCAAGAAGACUGCUGCGAGGAAGCUAGUAGUUGGUGAAGUUACUCCUCGGAAGAGCCCACAUGUUUCAAGGCCUGCAGAAGUUGUUGAACAUGAAGGGUUAGGCCUUGGUGGUAUGCCACACCGUAGUCCUUGUGUGCUUGCCACUGCCGCGCCUACACCUUCUCCACUUGGUGCUGGUGCAUCUGGUAAGGGUAAGAAAUGCGGCGUGAAGCGCAAGGUUCCGCCUGCAAAGGUCAACAAGGGUGUGAAGAAGCGUUCUCGUGUUAAUCCAGAGGACAAGGAUGAUGCUGAUUUCAAUGCUGAUGAUGAGGACGACGUCGAUGAUGAUGCUGCUGCUAAUCAGUAUCAGCUUGUGCUGCGGCCUGAGAGGAGGAAGAGAGGAGGCAAAGCGCCCGAAGAAGGUGGCCAAGGAGGAGGUGAGGCGAAACAUUUUAACAAGACAGUUCGAUGCUCACUGAAAGAGGUCAAGACGUGUGCGGAAAUGCUACAACUUAGGCACAAGACAAGGGUUAUCAAUGCUGGUUUUGGUUGUGUGUUUGACUUGAAGGUUGAUUCCAACAUUUCUCGUCCUUUGAUGGGCAACAUCUACACAAGGAUUGACCCUUCAACCAUGAUUUUGGACAUGGGUGAGGCGAACAAGGGCAAGCUUGGGUAUGCUAGGAGUGACGACAUCAAGACAAAGGAUUUGCGGAAUAUCCUCGCUGAACUUGUGAAGGAUGAGACGAAGGAUGAUCUUGGUCUGCAGUGGAAGACACAGGCUGAGGUUGUGUUCUUUAGGGUUAUUGAACGUCCUAUUCUAACUAUGCCUCGUUCUGCCGGCCUAGGGAGUGGAACUUCCCCAAGAUUUGAAUUCUCCCGGGAUGUUAAUACCGGUGUCCCCUGUAGAUCCAGGAGGAUUGAUAGUCUUCUUGAAACUGUUUGUGGGGAGUUGGCUCGUGUUCCUUCAACUACUGAGCGUCUUAGUCGCAUUGAUGGGAUUCUUCCUCCCGGACACGGAUUUGAUGCCGAGUCUUUGAAGGGGGUCUUAUCUAUUGAAGCUAAAUUUCUUGAAGAGCUUCGUCAGAGCACUUCCCACCUCCGGACUAGCGUUGGGUUGUUCAAGGAAAUGCAGGAUGCUCGUUGCAAGCCUUUUGAAGAUGAGGCAAGUGGUGUUGUGAGACAGAUUCAGAGGCAGGAUUAUGUUCGUUCGGGUCGUGAAGGAGGCCACGUGGAGCGUACCAAAGAGGCUGUUGAUGAUGAUGCUAGGGUUGAGGAGGAUGUUUUACCUGCACAUGGAGCUGCUCCUGUGCAUGAGGCUGCCCCUGUGCAUGAACCUGCUCCCGCUAGUGGCGUAAUAGUUGAUGAGGUUCAUGGCAGUGAAAAUAAGCAGCAGAACGAUGAUGUUAGUGUUGCUCUAGAGAAGGUUGCAGACAUGUCCGUCUCAGGCACCGGCUGCUCCGAUGGGGUGGUCCUGACUGAACCUUUUUCGUCCAUUGGCGUUGAGGUUUCUGAUGCUGAGCAGGGCAAGACAAAUGGAGACAUCAUUUUGGAGAAAGAUCAUGUUGAGUCUACUGUACAAACUGGUGGUAGUGCUGCUGCAAGCCCGGAGAAGUCUCCUGCAGCAGAGCCAUCAGUUGAUGUUGAUGUUGUACAUGCACAACCAAAUGUUUUUCUUGUUUCAGAUUCUCCAGUUGCUCCAACUGCUGCUGGUGUCCUUCCCGACGACGCUGCAACGUCUACUGGAGACGAUGAUGAAGAAACCGAAAAUAGCGACCUUGCUGUCGUCCGAAAGAAGGUUGAUGACUUUUAUUACAGUGUAACUAGGCUUAGGAAUGAUCGUUUCAAGAGAGAAAUGAUUAUGUUUCGAAACAAGGUGUGUGAAGCUUCUGUUCAAGAAGUCGCAAUAUCUUUUGGUCCUCGCGGAAUGCUUACAUCUAAUGUGGCUGAGUGUGCACACUACUGUCUACGUGCGAAGUACCAGGGAUCGGAUAAACUCAUCCUGCCGUAUUGGGUUUGUGACAAGAUUUUCCGAGGUCAAUUUGAUUCCCGUGUGAGGAAGUACUUCAUGGCGAGUGGUCCAGAUAGCAUGGGUGCACAUGAUUUGGUUGUUUUCCCUACUUUUGACCCGCCUAAGAUUCCUGCUUCCAUGGGUGGUGUCGGUCAUUGGGUGUCGGUAUUCCUUGACCUGAAGAAUUCAAGGGUUCUUGCAAAUUAUUCCCAUGAGAAUAUCGGGGAUAUCAAGAAGACGUGGUUGUACUCAAUCGCUUCUUCUAACUUGUUUGAGACAGACUUCCAAGCUAUGUUUGGCUACUACAUAUUGGAUCCGUUGGAGUUGACCGAUUACCACUACUCAUUCCUCGGGUCACAGGAAUACCAGCCUAGGGAGGAACCGAUGAGUACAUCUCCGAUAGAAGAUGAUAGACCUCGGACCCUCAUUCCUUCCAAGUUGGGGAAGCAGGCUGGUGGUAUUCAUGGUACUCCAAAAACCCCUUGCUACAGGAAGGCUGAUGCAGUCAAAGCAGCCGAAGCAAAAGUGAUUUCGUCCGAUGAUGAUUUUGAGAAGAUUGCUUACCCGAAGAAUGUUAAAUGUGCUGCUGGUACUAUUGCUGGUAGAGGUGGGAAGAAUGCUAUGAUUACUAGGAGGAAACCGGCAGUUGAGUCAGGGAACAUAACUUCCUCCAAGAGAGCAUCAAGAUUGGCUUUGAAGUGGCGUUCUCUUGUCGCUCCCCUGAAAAAAUACAGUUACCCUCAUCUAUCCGAGGCCCGGAAGUUGAAACAGUAUGUGCUGAGUAAAGACGGUCUGGAGAAGUAUUCUGAGACAAGCUACUGCAUGUUUACCAUCCCUGGGAAUGUGAUUGACCUCACAGGACGUGUCCUUUAUACGCUUUUCGGUGAAGGGCAGCAGAUGGAAGGAAACAUAAUGGAUUAUCUCAUAAAUUUGUGGAAGGAUAAGCCGGAGACCUCUGAGAUUUUCACUAGUGCUGACAGGGUUGUACUUAGUCCUUACUUCAUGCAGUACUGCCUGGAGUAUGAUUUCUACGCCGCAAUAGUUCCAAAGUUUGAUGCAGAAAAAUCUACUGGUUUCCUCCCAAUGUUUGUUCGCAAGGAAGAAGACCUUCUUAACGCAAAGCUGGUUUUCUUGAUUCUAUUCAAGCCAAUUGGCACAAUGGCGCACUACAGUGUGUACGUGGUCAAUAGAUAUCGUGGGAGCAUUGACAUCCUUGAUUCACUUUCUUACGCUAAUAUGGAAAUGUCGCGAACGAGUUUCCAUGGGGACUGCCAAAGUAUCAUGAAGAGAUUUGUUGGGUUGCUCGAGGAGGUGUACGGCAAGGCUCCCUACAAGGCGAGCAAGCAGCCUAACUGGGUGACUAUUGCAAAGAGGCCGACUUUCAUCGAUGUUCCGAAGCAGAAGAGUAAUGAUUGUGGUUUCUUUGCCGUGAAGUUCUGCUCUUCGUAUGAUGGCGAUGAGGUUUUUGAAGAUUUUGGUGAUGUGGAAGCUGCUGCAGAUGACUGGAAAGCUGAGUUCAUGCACACUCUGAUUUUUAGCGAGAAGAAUGAAGUCGUGCGUUCAGAGCUCCCUAAAGAGGUCCAGUCCUUUGGCCCGUGA